CUAUGAAAUCGAUCUCGAGCAUUUCAAAAUUUAAGAUUUAGUGUUUUAAUUUGAAACAUCUUUGUACUACGCACCGAUCACUUCAUUGGAUGUAAAGAGUACGUUAUCUAUGUAUAAAAAUAUUCUGUGGGACAAUAAAGUCCAUAACUGCAAAAAACCUACUGAAAUAUACGCGUCCGAAAAAACACGUUCGCCACCCGCGGUCACGCCGACCCCUCGACCGUGUGCCGUGUGCCGCUUGCGGUUAGGUCAGGUCAGCCGUGCGGCGGACGGACUGCGAUAUUUUUGGGAAUUUUCCAAGUACACAAACAGACGCACACAUUUUAGCCGUCGAAAUAUUAUCGAAUCUAAUUAGACGCGUGUUCGCGUUAUUUAUAUUCUAUUAUUAUUUAUAUAUAUAUAUGUAUAUUAUAUUAUAUUUGCAAAUAUUAUUAUUAUAUGUUUGUUUUAUCAUCGGA
Aphis gossypii (cotton aphid) is the source of this 458-nucleotide long non-coding RNA. RefSeq lists it as uncharacterized. NCBI's taxonomy places the organism in Eukaryota, Metazoa, Arthropoda, Insecta, Hemiptera, Aphididae. The transcript is spliced from 2 exons. The record is from RefSeq and is a predicted model, not a curated record.